This is a long non-coding RNA of Egretta garzetta (little egret), 471 nucleotides long. RefSeq lists it as uncharacterized. Lineage: Eukaryota; Metazoa; Chordata; Aves; Pelecaniformes; Ardeidae. The transcript has 2 exons. The record is from RefSeq and is a predicted model, not a curated record.
UUUUUAUAUAUAUAUUUUGGGAGGGGUAGUGGGUGGGAUGGAGAAAUACUCAAUCAGCUUAAGCCAGAAUAAUGUGUGUAAAAGCCCCUGAAGUAUUUUGUGUGUGAGUGCGCGGGUGUGAGUGCGCGCAUGGGAGUGUCUGACAUCUUAUAUUCCCUUUGUGUUCUGAAGAUUGGUGAGUUUUACUUUUUAUUUUUUUUUCCUGCAGAAGCAAUUGUUACAAAAAGUUGUAAAUAAGAGCUCCAUAAUUUUUGUUUAACCAUGAACAUCAUGUCACAGCAAACCCUGAAUAAUCACUUGGAAGGUAGAGGAGGAGACUCCAGAGCAGACAUUAAAGGGGGCAGCUGCAAACAGCGUUCCAGUGCUGCUGGCCCACGGUCGGGGUGUGUGCGGAGACGUGACUGUCAUCACCGGGCCCGAUAGGGUUGGCGGCUCUUGCAAUACCUUGACAAUACUGAGAUCUACCGCAUG